CCAAAUUUCCAAAGAUGUCAUGUCAAAAAGCAUUUUCAACAGUUUGAUUUAUCAAGAUGGAAAUAAGAAUGCACUCAGUUGUGGUUGGUUGAUGUCUCUUCAAUCUCUCUUAAUCCAUAGGUUCUCUUUCAUCCUUCUCUCUUUCCUUGUGAUGUAUCAUUGAAGAAGGCAUGUCAUGUAUACCAUAGAUUGUCCAGAGUCCAGGCUUUGAUUAUUGCAAAUCCAUGAUGUAGUUAAACAUAUUGCUCUGUUUUCUGUAUUUCCUGUAUUUGAGCCUAGAAGUUUGAUCAGAUUAAGAUUGGGGGGGGGGUAAUACUACUUCAUACUAGGUGUUGUGUUCUCCCACAGAAAGGACCUAAUGUCUAGUUAGCUUCCUUCUUAUGACAUUAGCAGCUCUUGAUGCUCAAUGCCUACAGCCAGUAAUUCCCUGGGGGUUAAACAUGGUGGCAUCCCAUCAUUUCUUCUUCAUUUAUUAGCUGGAUUACUUCUAUAAAGAGAAACUUCCCUCAUUUACUCUCAGUUCCCCAAGGGAUUAUCUCGUAAAUUCUGUGAGAAUUCUGGGUACAUGUGAUUAUCUCCACUUCCGUGUGAGCAAACUGAGGUCAGUGGAGUUAAGAGAACUGUCACCAGAACUGUCCAGCUGAGCCCCGUGCAACUCACGAAAUCAUAAUAAAUAAACAGGAGUUGUUUUAUGGCCCCAAGUCAGGCAGAGCCCAUGAGUAGCUAGCAAGGUUGAAGAGCUCCCGGGCCCUUUACUCCCUCCAUAAGGAGACAGAUUUGCAGAGUCAUAAACAUCACCCAAUUCAGCCUUUUCAUGCUCAGAUGGGGGAGCUGAGGGCUGGAGAUGGUAAUGACUCAUGCAGGCUUGCACAGGUAGCCAAGGUAAUGGGCAUAUUGUUAAAGGAAACCUCUGAAAAUUCUUGUGAUGAGUUCCAGUGUCUUUGAUGGCUGUGUCUGAUGCUCUCAUUCUACAGCCCACUUGUACCCGCAGCACCAGGCCUGCCUCUCAACCUCAUCUUACUGUUGUGUCCCCAAGAAGCAUCUGUUGAAUGGAUAAAUGAAGCCUCAGCACCUGUCGCAUUCAAAUCAAAGUUUUGCAGAACCAACAUAACAUCUCUACGGAACCCUAGUGUUCCACAACGGACACAAUUUGAAAACCACUGCAAUAAGAUAAAUUCCUGGUGUAAGUGACCAAAAGUCAGCUGGAGGAAGCUUA
RNAcentral lists this long non-coding RNA (1216 nucleotides) under Canis lupus familiaris (dog). RNAcentral describes it as "lncRNA (ENSCAFG00000057317.1)". Lineage: Eukaryota; Metazoa; Chordata; Mammalia; Carnivora; Canidae. The record is from RNAcentral.